RNAcentral lists this ribosomal RNA (433 nucleotides) under uncultured bacterium. Its description in RNAcentral is "partial 16S ribosomal RNA". It matches the Rfam family "Bacterial small subunit ribosomal RNA", at positions 29 to 507 of the family's 1533-position model. The record is from RNAcentral.
AACGAACGCUGGCGGCAUGCCUAACACAUGCAAGUCGAACGAGACCUUCGGGUCUAUUGGCGCAAGGGUGCGUAACGCGUGGGAACCUGCCCUUAGGUUCGGAAUACCUCACCUAAAGGGGUGUUAAUACCGGAUAAUGCCUUCGGACCAAAGAUUUAUCGCUGUUGGAUGGGCCCGCGUUGGAUUAGCUAGUUGGUAGGGUAAAAGCCUACCAAGGCGGCGAUCCAUCGCUGGUCUGAGAGGAUGAUCAGCCACACUGGGACUGAGACACGGCCCAGACUGCUACGGGGGGCGGCAGUGGAGAAUAUUGGACAAGGAGCGGAGGCCUGGUCCAGCAAUGCCGCGUGAGUGAUGAAGGUGUUUGGGUUGGAAAGCUCUUUUACCCGGGAUGAUAAUGACAGUACCGGGAGAAUAAGCUCCGGCUAACUCCGUG